RNAcentral lists this ribosomal RNA (253 nucleotides) under uncultured bacterium. Its description in RNAcentral is "partial 16S ribosomal RNA". It matches the Rfam family "Bacterial small subunit ribosomal RNA", at positions 524 to 776 of the family's 1533-position model. The record is from RNAcentral.
UACGUAGGGUCCGAGCGUUGUCCGGAAUUAUUGGGCGUAAAGGGCUCGUAGGCGGUCUGUUGCGUCGGGAGUGAAAACUUACAGCUUAACUGUGAGCGUGCUUUCGAUACGGGCAGACUUGAGGCAUUCAGGGGAGAACGGAAUUCCUGGUGUAGCGGUGAAAUGCGUAGAUAUCGAGAGGAACACCUGCGGCGAAGGCGGGUUGCUGGGCCGACACUGACGCUGAUGCGCGAAAGCCAGGGGAGCGAACGGG